Molecule: long non-coding RNA, 540 nt
Organism: Setaria italica (foxtail millet)
Lineage: Eukaryota; Viridiplantae; Streptophyta; Magnoliopsida; Poales; Poaceae
Exons: 3
Source: RefSeq, a predicted model, not a curated record
AGGUGGGAAAGGGAGAAUUCCAAGCUAUACAUACAGAGUAGCAAUGGUCAAUCCAGUUACAAAGAAAAGAUUGAGUUUGCAACCUACUUCGCAGAGGAAAUAUCUAAAGGGCUGCUCUUUGAGAUGCCGGAUCAGAUCCCUUCCCUCGCUGAGCUCAUUAAAAUUGGUAGCUUACUGGAUUUCGACGAUGGCGCUGUUGGGUUCUUGCAUAAGUCCAACAAUCUUCAGCUGUUCCCUGAAGACGAGGAUUUCCUGAAGUCUUCAUUGCUAGGUGGUAUCAAGAAUAACUAGCGAUCUGCAGAUUAUUCUCUUUCGAUCAUGUUCACGGUUUCUGAAUGCUGAUGGCCUAAAUAAAAAUCUGGUGCUGUGCUUGGAGGCUUCUGAAUGUGACUGCAGGGGUGUCUUCCGAGCUGUUGUGCCCAUCUUAUGAUAGUCAAUCUGUUCCUUUUUCUCUUGUUUAUUUAAGUUAGUUUCUCUGUAUCCUGGAACAGAUCUUGUCAGUAGUUUCAGUGCAGAUCUUUAUCCAAGUGCAAGAUGACA